CAUGCCGAGUCCUGCUUGGUUUAGUCAGAGACAAUACAAUUGCACACAUAUUAACAAAGCUUCAGGUGAGCGACCAUUGUAUCUUUUGAUGAUCUUAGUUAAUGCAGCUUACUCAGUCAUGAAUUAAAGUUUUUGUGUAUAGUUUUUCUAAUAGUAUGUUGCUAUGUUUGCAUUGUCUACUUUGUGUAGUGUGACUUACAUCCUAAUAUGGGCCACGUAUAAUCAGAAUCCUUCCUAUCCUCAGUGCAAGCAUCCGUUUCAGUUUCUUAGUGUUCAUCGAUCACCAGAUGGAAGGUGCUCCUAUCAAUUUUAGAGAAGUUCUUCUCCAAGUUUCUGAACUUGCCUAAUGUAAAUAGGAGGUUGAGGAAGAUCAUCUCCAUUCUCUCAAGUGACCAGCCUCCCCGCCCUCAGCUGUAUCUGUACAGCACAACUGACAAGGUCAUUCCAGCUAGGUCGACAGAGUCUUUUAUUCAGGAGUAGAAGAAAUCUGGGAGAAAGGUGAAACUGAAUGCAAUGGUUAAGGACACAACUUUCUUGAGGGCAUCGCUCUCUGAUCAUCUCAAACCCGACUUCAAUCCUCUUAUCAUGAAGAGCAAGGAGACCAUUUCAAAGGAAAGAGACCUGCUUGUUUGCUACAUUUGCCGUCGCAAACACGGUAUAUGCAUAAAG
This is a long non-coding RNA of Magnolia sinica, 669 nucleotides long. RefSeq lists it as uncharacterized. The transcript has 4 exons. NCBI's taxonomy places the organism in Eukaryota, Viridiplantae, Streptophyta, Magnoliopsida, Magnoliales, Magnoliaceae. The record is from RefSeq and is a predicted model, not a curated record.